CUUGUAUGUUUAAAGAGUAAGGUUGUGCUGACCAGGAAAGAGCACUGGGCUGUGAGUUUGGGAACUGGAGGUCACAGGUCUUGCCUUUGUCUUCCUUUUGUGAUCGAGAAGCCAUACUGUGGCUGGCCAUGAAUAACUGCAAUUGCAGAAGGUGAAACUGGU
RNAcentral lists this long non-coding RNA (162 nucleotides) under Capra hircus (goat). Its description in RNAcentral is "lncRNA (ENSCHIG00000000965.1)". Lineage: Eukaryota; Metazoa; Chordata; Mammalia; Artiodactyla; Bovidae. The record is from RNAcentral.